Molecule: transfer RNA, 75 nt
Filed under: Pseudomyrmex particeps
Lineage: Eukaryota; Metazoa; Arthropoda; Insecta; Hymenoptera; Formicidae
Description: tRNA-Leu
Source: RNAcentral
AUUAUUUUGGCAGAAGAAGUGCAUUAAAUUUAGAAUUUAAUUAUAUAUACAUGUUAGUUAAGUAUAUAAGUAAUA